RNAcentral lists this non-coding RNA (45 nucleotides) under Schistosoma mattheei. Lineage: Eukaryota; Metazoa; Platyhelminthes; Trematoda; Strigeidida; Schistosomatidae. The record is from RNAcentral.
AUCCAGCUGACGAGUCCCAUAUAGAACGAAGCGCGCGUCCUGUAU